Entelurus aequoreus (snake pipefish) is the source of this 480-nucleotide long non-coding RNA. RefSeq lists it as uncharacterized. The transcript has 3 exons. The record is from RefSeq and is a predicted model, not a curated record. NCBI's taxonomy places the organism in Eukaryota, Metazoa, Chordata, Actinopteri, Syngnathiformes, Syngnathidae.
GCUGUAUGCAACAUUCACGUAGGAUUAUUUCUUGUUUCCUGGCUGAAGAUUCCUGUGCUAAGUUUUGGGGAGUAAACCAGGCUCUCUACAAUCUAAGGAGGACAGAUGGUCAAUGUGCGGGUGACGAUUCCCACCGUCGUCUUCACAGAUGAAAAGAGAAGAUGAGAGUCUGGGAUGAGCAAAGAGGAGGAAAAGAGAGUAAAGGCCAAGUUAAAUGGAGGUGAUUUAUCACGUGUGUUCUCUCAAUCUGUGACAAGGAGGAGGAGGAUGGAGGACCUCUCUGCUAUAUCCUGUGCCCGCUUCUAAGAGGUAUUGCCUCUCUUAUUGCUGCUGUAGAGCCCCAUCAGUGCCAGGCGCUCUGAUUUAUGUCUCUGAUCCGCUUCCACCUCCAACUCCUUUCCAUUAGUCUCUACAAUUUUGCCCCCAUUGUUCGGUUGCCGGCGUUAUCGCCCCUGCACAGGCCUGUCAGCAGGACUUGCC